CGGGCUAACUUAUGUUAAGGAUUUCAUUUACAUUGAAGUUUUUUCUGUUCAAUUCGGAAUAGCUUGA
Molecule: transfer RNA, 67 nt
Filed under: Anaplecta sp. 8 ZQW-2020
Lineage: Eukaryota; Metazoa; Arthropoda; Insecta; Blattodea; Anaplectidae
Description: tRNA-Val
Source: RNAcentral